This is a long non-coding RNA of Dalotia coriaria, 848 nucleotides long. RefSeq lists it as uncharacterized. The transcript is spliced from 4 exons. Lineage: Eukaryota; Metazoa; Arthropoda; Insecta; Coleoptera; Staphylinidae. The record is from RefSeq and is a predicted model, not a curated record.
UUUUAAUAUAUUUACCACUAUUUUAAAAUUGAUUAUAUAAAAAGAUGAUCCCGUCGCGAAAUAUAUAUGGUACAUUAAUACCAAAUGAACUAGACGAAGAAGCGAAUGUGGACCCUGCUGAUCUGGAAAAUCAUUAUACGUUUUGCACGUAUGCAACGACUCAGCGAGUUUUAUUAUGUGCAUCGUCAACGAAAAAAGUCGCAUUCCUAUAUGAACUGUUCGUCAUAAUAGAGAGACACAAGUUUAUACGAAUGAUAUUUAAUAUCUUAGAGAAACACUUUUUGGGGAAGCUGUAUAACUAUUUAAAAACAAUGGAUUACUCGGAUAAUAUUAACGAUGCACAAUUUAAAGAUAACGAUCGUUCAAUUGAUCCCGACGAACUUGAUGCAUGUUUUGAAUCAUCUUUGUACUGGUUUAAAUAUUUGCAUAACAUUGAUCUAAAAUUGGCAAUAUUUUUAUCAUAUUUAUCAAUUUGUGGAAAUAGUGUAAUCCGAAAAGUAAUAAUUCGUGUGAAAAAGUUUUACGAAAAAGAAGGAAAUUAUUUUCGACACUCAAGACUAUCAACACAUUUUUCAUUCCAACUUCAACCUUCAGCACGAUAUUAUGCUUAUAAUGAAGAAUUGGAUGAUAGCGAUCCCGAUGUACAAUUGAUUUACAAGAAAAGAAAAGAAUGGGACGAAAUGAUUACCAAAUAUCGUAAAAACGUUGAGUUUUCUAUAUAUGGGUGUGCAUCUGACCCAAAAUUUAAAGAAGAGAAUGCGAAACAAGGCGAAAAUGGCAAAACUAGAACAGAUAAAAGUAAAAAUAAGAAAGACACUACUCUUAAAGAAGGAAAAGGCAAGAAAAUU